This 186-nucleotide unclassified non-coding RNA is filed under the name Bjerkandera adusta. Its description in RNAcentral is "partial internal transcribed spacer 2". Lineage: Eukaryota; Fungi; Basidiomycota; Agaricomycetes; Polyporales; Phanerochaetaceae. The record is from RNAcentral.
AAUUCUCAACCUUCGGCUUUAUUGACGAAGGCUUGGACUUGGAGGUCGUGCCGGCUCUCGUAGUCGGCUCCUCUGAAAUGCAUUAGUGCGAACGUUACCAGCCGCUUCAGCGUGAUAAUUAUCUGCGUUGCUGUGGAGGGUAUUCUAGUGUUCGCGCUUCUAACCGUCUUCGGACAAAUUUCUGAA